This 253-nucleotide ribosomal RNA is filed under the name uncultured bacterium. RNAcentral describes it as "partial 16S ribosomal RNA". It matches the Rfam family "Bacterial small subunit ribosomal RNA", at positions 524 to 776 of the family's 1533-position model. The record is from RNAcentral.
UACGUAGGGUGCGAGCGUUAAUCGGAAUUACUGGGCGUAAAGCGUGCGCAGGCGGUUCGUUGUGUCGGCGGUGAAAGCCCCGGGCUCAACCUGGGAAUGGCCGUUGAAACUGGCGAACUGGAGUGUGGCAGAGGGGGGCGGAAUUCCGCGUGUAGCAGUGAAAUGCGUAGAGAUGCGGAGGAACACCGAUGGCGAAGGCAGCCCCCUGGGCUGACACUGACGCUCAGGCACGAAAGCGUGGGGAGCAAACAGG